AUACGAAGGCAGGGGCUUGUGUCACUGUAGUCCAGACACCAUAAAUGCCAACGUGAGGAUUAAAGACCAGCUGCAAGGGGAUUUCAAAAGCUCCAUCGAAUCCCAACACUUUUCUCAAGACACAAUUUAUCUUUGUCUGUGAAAGGAGGGCUAAUUUAGACAACGAUUAGAACCCAAAAGUAACUGUGCACAUGAGCUGGGUUGUCUCCCUUGGAGAAGAAUCUGGGAAGAUUCUGGAUGGUUCUGGAUGCAGGGGGUUCACUCUGGAAUAGUAACCACCAACACCACCCUCUCCACGUCUCCUGCCUGAAACUAGCAGAAAGAGUCCCUGCCCACGGCUCGAAUGUGGAUUGUCACCAGGAACGGUGGCUUCUCCAGAAUGGCCCAUGCUCCAGCGUCCAUGUCCCACCUGGGGAAGCAGCCUUCGAUGCUCAAGAAGGCACCAUGGUGGGACCUGGGGCCACAUCCACCAUGCAAAGUGUCCCUGGGAUCUGGGGCACGAGGAAUCCUCACUGGAUCUCACAGGCUGUCCUUCCCCAACUUCCUUUUUUUUUAUUCCUCCAUCAGAGCAAGUCAACUGUCUCCACACUUGCUCUAAAAACAUGUUUAACAUGCACUGACAGCCCACUCUGACACGGGCAUUGUUAUUCCAUUUUACAGAUGAAGAAACUGAGCCUGGGAAGUUAUCGAGAGCCAUGACCAUCUCGGAAGAGACCAGCUCAUCUCAGAAGUGAUCUCGCUGGGAAAGGCCGUUAUUUUCCACCAAGCCACGGGGCCCACUUUGCAUCCACAAGGAGAAGCUUGCGCAGUUGGGCUCCCCUCCUGCCUUGUGUUGUCUGGACCCUGGGGCCAGUCUUAUUUUGCAUGAACAGAGUUGUCCUGGUCCCAGCGAUCCUUUGCUGGUGUGGAGACUGGAAGUCAGAGCCCAAGGUCCACCAGGCACGGGAGCUCGUGGAGACGGUUGUGCUCAGGGCAUGGGGUCUGGGGAUGGCGCAGCUUUUUCUACAGAAAAGUGCAUUCUGUCUUCUGCAUAGUCUACGGUAACCAACCUUAGUUUUGUCUUGCUUUGUUUUUUUCUCUUCAGCCUCCGGAAGAGUGUCUGUUCAACAUAAAGAAUAAAGCAUGAAAUACGUUGAACUCUUAGACUAACUCCCGAGGCUGCAGACCAGCAGGAGAGAAGUGAGGGCAGCUACCUGGUGUCUUGGGGCUGAGAAGAGGUCCACUGGGGAGCCUUGGACAAACCAGAACCACAGCAGCUCGGGGCCCGUCUUCCUUCUCCAGACGCAGCUCUCCCAUUGCCCGACAGCGUUCGACUUUGGCCAUUCCUUCCAGGGGCCAGCACAGCACUGACCACCGCAGGCCCUCAGGGGAUGUGACUGGAAUCAAAGGAUUGCCUGCCUAAUCCAUUUCCUUUGUUUAUCACUCUGGAAUUUCACCCACAAGUUGAAAAUGAAACUGACUGUAGUUCAGUUGAAAGAUGUCCUCUUGAGAUGGGGAAGUGGCAUCCUGGAACGCUGGUAACACGGGUCCACGAUGGAGUUUUUUGUUUACUCUUUAGGAAGCUGGACUCCAUCACUGGGGCGCCCACUUGUCCAAGAGAGUGAGUUUGUCUUUAAGAAACAAAAUCCUGGGCUUCCCUGGUGGCACAGUGGUUGA
This is a long non-coding RNA of Balaenoptera musculus (blue whale), 1656 nucleotides long. RefSeq lists it as uncharacterized. The record is from RefSeq and is a predicted model, not a curated record. The transcript has 4 exons. Lineage: Eukaryota; Metazoa; Chordata; Mammalia; Artiodactyla; Balaenopteridae.